UACGGAAGGCAGCAGUGGGGAAUAUUGCACAAUGGGCGAAAGCCUGAUGCAGCUAUGCCGCGUGUAUGAAGAAGGCCUUAGGGUUGUAAAGUACUUUCAUCGGGGAGGAAAAAACAAAACUAAUAAUUUUAUUUCUUGACGUUACCCGAAAAAGAAGCACCGGCUAACUCCGUGCCAGCAGCCGCGGUAAUACGGAGGGUGCUAGCGUUAAUCAGAAUUACUGGGCGUAAAGAGCACGUAGGUGGUUUUUUUAAGUCAGAUGUGAAAUCCCUGGGCUUAACCUGGAACUGCAUUUUGAAACUGAAAUACUAGAGUAUCGUAGAGGGAGGUAGAAUUCUAGGUGUAGCGGUGAAAUGCGUAGAUAUCUGGAGGAAUACCUGUGGCGAAAGCGGCCUCUAAACGAAUACUGACACUGAGGUGCGAAAGCGUGGGGAGCAAACAGGGAUUUAGAUACCCGU
RNAcentral lists this ribosomal RNA (458 nucleotides) under uncultured bacterium. RNAcentral describes it as "bacterial SSU rRNA". It matches the Rfam family "Bacterial small subunit ribosomal RNA", at positions 340 to 789 of the family's 1533-position model. The record is from RNAcentral.